GCGGAGCGGUGCCGGUGGGGCGGGCGCGGAGGGGGGGGCAGGGCCCGCGGCGGCCGUGACUCAUCCCCGGCUUCCUCCGCCGAUCUGGGUCAGGGGUGCGCGGCCGGUUUCAUGCCACCGACCGCACCUCCGAGGGGGCCCCGAUAGGAUCCUUCCCGGCGGAGGUGGCGAAGGGACGUUAACCCUUGUGCUGCCGGCUGCUCGGGCUCUAGGCGGUGCGGGAAUACCGGCACCCACCUGGCCAAGCCGAUGCUUGGGAACGGGAACAAAGACAUUCACGUGUUAACUUUUCCCCACGAGACUCCCCCAACGACAAAAAUACAGCUUCUGAACUGCCAGCUUGCAACCUACCUUCACAUAAGCUUCAGGACUUCUUAUUCAGCGUUUUUAGACACCUGCAAGUGAGCUGCCUGUUAGAAAAAUACCUUGGGGUGAAGCAAGUUUGUAAGCAAGGAUGUGUUUCACGUGGAGCUUUGCCACGAGGUGCAUCAUCCACAAGGAGCUGCUUUGGAGGAGAGGCCAGAGCCGGCCCAGACACUGGCUGGAUGAGGCAGGAUGGAGGGAAGGUGAUGACAGCUCCCUUUAUGUCAGAGGCAGCUUUUUUUCCUGAAGGAAGGACUUGCACAUAACCAGGGCAGGAGCCCUCAGGCCCAGUGCAGUCAUCCCCACGGGGCCCCAGCCCCCCUCUGCAGUGCUCCUUUGGUGCACAAGCCACGAAUCUCUGCCCCACAGCCAGAAACAAGACCCGACACCGGGAAAACGAGAGGAAACAAAAGGCAAAGUGAAAUGCCCCCCAGUUCCAUCUCAUUGCAUGAGUUACUGUAUUUACAGCUUGAGGAGCACUGCAGAAGGUAACACGUCCUGCUGGGGAGGGAGGGAAGCACUACAGACACAGAACCAUACAUCCUACAAACCUGACAGAACAUUGAAAGGUUCACUGCAGGGAAACAAUUAAAUACACUUUGCUAAAGACAGACAGUAGAAGAGCACAGAGGGGGUUUAUUUCAUCCUGAUUUCUCCAAGUACAGCCUGAAUUAGCGACACGAUUUCCACUCACCCCUCAGCAUCGGGGUGAGA
Molecule: long non-coding RNA, 1077 nt
Organism: Colius striatus (speckled mousebird)
Lineage: Eukaryota; Metazoa; Chordata; Aves; Coliiformes; Coliidae
Exons: 4
Source: RefSeq, a predicted model, not a curated record